GGAAACGGCUCAGCCGGAGGUAG
RNAcentral lists this non-coding RNA (23 nucleotides) under Arabidopsis thaliana (thale cress). Lineage: Eukaryota; Viridiplantae; Streptophyta; Magnoliopsida; Brassicales; Brassicaceae. The record is from RNAcentral.